RNA transcript from Capsicum annuum, 1652 nucleotides. RefSeq lists it as uncharacterized. The record is from RefSeq and is a predicted model, not a curated record. Lineage: Eukaryota; Viridiplantae; Streptophyta; Magnoliopsida; Solanales; Solanaceae. The transcript has 4 exons.
UAUUCCCAAAUCUUCCUCAUUAAUUUCUUCUCUUUUUUUUUUGGAGGUUAAAAAUCAAAUUCAGAUCUCAUCACUAACAAAUCACAAAAAAUGGAGUCGAAAGAAGAAUUAUCAUCAGCAAAAGCAGUUCUUGUUGGAGCUUUAGCUCCAGGAGUCAACGCUCCUACUUGGAAUACGUUGAAGAUUGCAUUUUUAAUGCUGGUUGUGUGUCUGAUUGUUAUGUUGGGGUUGGCUUUCUCUUCAAGUGACUUGUCUUUGACUCUCCAUGUUGCUUUCCUCUUUUUAAUUACUGCAACCCUCUUCGUGCUUCUUACCAGGUUUCUUGCUGAGACUGGGUUUGUUUCCGUUGAACAUCAAAUGGAGGAAUUAGGUUUAGCACCCAAAGAUGAAGAUACAAGCAAGAAGACCAGUUGAAGCUUUUUAAAAUCAGACAUAUCAUUACAUAAUGGCUUUUCCCUUAAGAUUACAUUUUACACGGUACAUCAUGAUGAUUGAAAGCUGAAUCUUGAGCUAUUUUGUUGGAAAAGCAAAAGAAGGGGUGACGUAGAUCCUUUGCUCAAUCUUUGCCAUCCUCAAGAUAAGAAGAUGCCUUUCUUGGAAGCCAUAAGCUAACCAAGUUGAUGUAUGCCUGAGGAAAAGUGGUUCCUUUUGCUUUCCUGUUUUUGAAGGUAAGAUUUCUUAAUGCUAACCAAAACUUAUUUUUAAACAAUGCAGAAAGCUCCACUUUCCUCCUCCUACUUAGUUACUCUCCUGCUCCAAUUUGUUUUUUAAUUUGUGUCACCUGAAAAAAGUUCCAUUUCCCAUAAGGUAGGCACAUUAACGAAUGCAAAUGAAUCCUUUGGGCCUCUACACUAGUCAUGAUGUACAUGGUUACUUUCCUCAUUAAUUAGUCCUCCACUUUGAACUAAAUCAGUUAAAAAUCUUUUUUCAAAAUGUUACCAGUAUCUGUCAUGCAUUUAAAUUUUGUCACUUCGCUGUGGCUUUUUUUCUGCUGCUGCUUUCUUUUUCUCCGAAGUUCCAGAAUCAACUCCUCAAAAAAAAAAAAUAAAAAAAAAUCUCUUCUUAUGAUUCUUCCAACGACUAUAUUUAAAUUUUGAUCACGUUGCUCAAUGGAAAAAAAAAAAAAAUCCCUUAUAAAAGCGUGUUUAUGGAAAAGCAAAUUGAAGACCAAUGUUUAGAAAAAAUCAAGCGGAUAUUCGAAACUCAUGCCCAACUAUUUUAGGUUCACGGUGGUAGGCCAACUAACACGGUUACCGCCCCUUACAAAAAAGUUUUUUCAAAGGUAAAAUGCGUUAGAUCAAAAAGUUCUCCAUUUCAAGGGCUCAAAUUCGAGGUCUAAUUAAGGGUGAAUGGAUCCCAACCUCGUGACUUCUAUGGAAAUGCUUGCUUAAAUGCAUAUUAUGGCCCCUAUGAAAAAUUUUAAACAAAAAUUACGCUUGCCUUCCCGUUUCUGUUCCAAGCAACCUUCAACCAACGUCCUACAAAGAAAUAAUCAAAGAUGAUUCCGAUUCAAACUUUUGAACUUAUACUCUAAAUUCAGACAUAAAAGAUUUUAGUCUUUAGAAAAUAAAUUUUCCAGAUUUAGAAAUAUAAAUAUACUUUCCAAAUCAAAUAUGCGUUGGAAAAAUAGAAAGAAUAAAUUAAUAAAUAAA